This 539-nucleotide ribosomal RNA is filed under the name Ascochyta rabiei. RNAcentral describes it as "eukaryotic LSU rRNA". The stretch from base 172 to 325 matches the Rfam family "5.8S ribosomal RNA". The record is from RNAcentral. Lineage: Eukaryota; Fungi; Ascomycota; Dothideomycetes; Pleosporales; Didymellaceae.
UCCGUAGGGUGAACCUGCGGAAGGAUCAUUACCUAGAGUUUGUGGGCUUUGCCCGCUACCUCUUACCCAUGUCUUUUGAGUACUUACGUUUCCUCGGCGGGUCCGCCCGCCGAUUGGACAAAAUCAAACCCUUUGCAGUUGCAAUCAGCGUCUGAAAAACAUAAUAGUUACAACUUUCAACAACGGAUCUCUUGGUUCUGGCAUCGAUGAAGAACGCAGCGAAAUGCGAUAAGUAGUGUGAAUUGCAGAAUUCAGUGAAUCAUCGAAUCUUUGAACGCACAUUGCGCCCCUUGGUAUUCCAUGGGGCAUGCCUGUUCGAGCGUCAUUUGUACCUUCAAGCUUUGCUUGGUGUUGGGUGUUUGUCUCGCCUCUGCGUGUAGACUCGCCUUAAAACAAUUGGCAGCCGGCGUAUUGAUUUCGGAGCGCAGUACAUCUCGCGCUUUGCACUCAUAACGACGACGUCCAAAAGUACAUUUUUACACUCUUGACCUCGGAUCAGGUAGGGAUACCCGCUGAACUUAAGCAUAUCAAUAAGGCGG